Molecule: ribosomal RNA, 305 nt
Filed under: uncultured bacterium
Lineage: Bacteria
Description: bacterial SSU rRNA
Rfam family: Bacterial small subunit ribosomal RNA
Source: RNAcentral
UCCUACGGGAGGCAGCAGUGAGGAAUAUUGGUCAAUGGCCGCAGGGCUGAACCAGCCAAGUCGCGUGAGGGAUGACGGUCCUAUGGAUUGUAAACCUCUUUUGUCAGGGAGCAAAGGGCGCCACGUGUGGCGCUUUGCGAGUACCUGAAGAAAAAGCAUCGGCUAACUCCGUGCCAGCAGCCGCGGUAAUACGGAGGAUGCGAGCGUUAUCCGGAUUUAUUGGGUUUAAAGGGUGCUCAGGCGGAAUGUCAAGUCAGCGGUAAAAUUUCUGGGGUCAACCACGUCGUGCCGUUGAAACUGGCGUU